AGAUGGGCAUGCGUUGUAUUAGCUAGUUGGUGAGGUAACGGCUCACCAAGGCGACGAUACAUAGGGGGACUGAGAGGUUAACCCCCCACACUGGCACUGAGACACGGACCAGACUCCUACGGGAGGCAGCAGUGAGGAAUAUUGGUCAAUGGACGCAAGUCUGAACCAGCCAUGCCGCGUGCAGGAUGACGGCUCUAUGAGUUGUAAACUGCUUUUGUACGAGGGUAAACGCAGAUACGUGUAUCUGUCUGAAAGUAUCGUACGAAUAAGGAUCGGCUAACUCCGUGCCAGCAGCCGCGGUAAUACGGAGGAUUCAAGCGUUAUCCGGAUUUAUUGGGUUUAAAGGGUGCGUAGGCGGUUUGAUAAGUUAGAGGUGAAAUUUCGGGGCUCAACCCUGAACGUGCCUCUAAUACUGUUGAGCUAGAGAGUAGUUGCGGUAGGCGGAAUGUAUGGUGUAGCGGUGAAAUGCUUAGAGAUCAUACAGAACACCGAUUGCGAAGGCAGCUUACCAAACUAUAUCUGACGUUGAGGCACGAAAGCGUGGGGAGCAAACAGGAUUAGAUACCCUGGUAGUCCACGCAGUAAACGAUAAUGACUCGUUGUCGGCGAUACACAGUCGGUGACUA
Molecule: ribosomal RNA, 626 nt
Filed under: uncultured bacterium
Lineage: Bacteria
Description: bacterial SSU rRNA
Rfam family: Bacterial small subunit ribosomal RNA
Source: RNAcentral